This 2672-nucleotide ribosomal RNA is filed under the name Klebsiella pneumoniae. Its description in RNAcentral is "partial 23S ribosomal RNA". It matches the Rfam family "Bacterial large subunit ribosomal RNA". Lineage: Bacteria; Pseudomonadati; Pseudomonadota; Gammaproteobacteria; Enterobacterales; Enterobacteriaceae. The record is from RNAcentral.
CACUAUCGUUAACUGAAUACAUAGGUUAACGAGGCGAACCGGGGGAACUGAAACAUCUAAGUACCCCGAGGAAAAGAAAUCAACCGAGAUUCCCCCAGUAGCGGCGAGCGAACGGGGAGCAGCCCAGAGUCUGAAUCAGCUUGUGUGUUAGUGGAACGGUCUGGAAAGUCCGACGGUACAGGGUGAUAGUCCCGUACACCAAAAUGCACAGGCUGUGAACUCGAAGAGUAGGGCGGGACACGUGGUAUCCUGUCUGAAUAUGGGGGGACCAUCCUCCAAGGCUAAAUACUCCUGACUGACCGAUAGUGAACCAGUACCGUGAGGGAAAGGCGAAAAGAACCCCGGCGAGGGGAGUGAAAAAGAACCUGAAACCGUGUACGUACAAGCAGUGGGAGCACCUUCGGGUGUGACUGCGUACCUUUUGUAUAAUGGGUCAGCGACUUAUAUUCUGUAGCAAGGUUAACCGUAUAGGGGAGCCGCAGGGAAACCGAGUCUUAACUGGGCGUUAAGUUGCAGGGUAUAGACCCGAAACCCGGUGAUCUAGCCAUGGGCAGGUUGAAGGUUGGGUAACACUAACUGGAGGACCGAACCGACUAAUGUUGAAAAAUUAGCGGAUGACUUGUGGCUGGGGGUGAAAGGCCAAUCAAACCGGGAGAUAGCUGGUUCUCCCCGAAAGCUAUUUAGGUAGCGCCUCGUGAACUCAUCUUCGGGGGUAGAGCACUGUUUCGGCUAGGGGGUCAUCCCGACUUACCAACCCGAUGCAAACUACGAAUACCGAAGAAUGUUAUCACGGGAGACACACGGCGGGUGCUAACGUCCGUCGUGAAGAGGGAAACAACCCAGACCGCCAGCUAAGGUCCCAAAGUCAUGGUUAAGUGGGAAACGAUGUGGGAAGGCACAGACAGCCAGGAUGUUGGCUUAGAAGCAGCCAUCAUUUAAAGAAAGCGUAAUAGCUCACUGGUCGAGUCGGCCUGCGCGGAAGAUGUAACGGGGCUAAACCAUGCACCGAAGCUGCGGCAGCGACACUAUGUGUUGUUGGGUAGGGGAGCGUUCUGUAAGCCUGCGAAGGUGACCUGUGAGGGUUGCUGGAGGUAUCAGAAGUGCGAAUGCUGACAUAAGUAACGAUAAAGCGGGUGAAAAGCCCGCUCGCCGGAAGACCAAGGGUUCCUGUCCAACGUUAAUCGGGGCAGGGUGAGUCGACCCCUAAGGCGAGGCCGAAAGGCGUAGUCGAUGGGAAACAGGUUAAUAUUCCUGUACUUGGUGUUACUGCGAAGGGGGGACGGAGAAGGCUAUGUUAGCCGGGCGACGGUUGUCCCGGUUUAAGCAUGUAGGCUGGUUGUCCAGGCAAAUCCGGAUAAUCAAGGCUGAGGUGUGAUGACGAGGUACUACGGUGCUGAAGUAACAAAUGCCCUGCUUCCAGGAAAAGCCUCUAAGCAUCAGGUAACAUCAAAUCGUACCCCAAACCGACACAGGUGGUCAGGUAGAGAAUACCAAGGCGCUUGAGAGAACUCGGGUGAAGGAACUAGGCAAAAUGGUGCCGUAACUUCGGGAGAAGGCACGCUGGUGUGUAGGUGAAGUCCCUGCGGAUGGAGCUGAGACCAGUCGAAGAUACCAGCUGGCUGCAACUGUUUAUUAAAAACACAGCACUGUGCAAACACGAAAGUGGACGUAUACGGUGUGACGCCUGCCCGGUGCCGGAAGGUUAAUUGAUGGGGUUAUCCGUAAGGAGAAGCUCUUGAUCGAAGCCCCGGUAAACGGCGGCCGUAACUAUAACGGUCCUAAGGUAGCGAAAUUCCUUGUCGGGUAAGUUCCGACCUGCACGAAUGGCGUAAUGAUGGCCAGGCUGUCUCCACCCGAGACUCAGUGAAAUUGAACUCGCUGUGAAGAUGCAGUGUACCCGCGGCAAGACGGAAAGACCCCGUGAACCUUUACUAUAGCUUGACACUGAACAUUGAGCCUUGAUGUGUAGGAUAGGUGGGAGGCUUUGAAGCGUGGACGCCAGUCUGCGUGGAGCCAACCUUGAAAUACCACCCUUUAAUGUUUGAUGUUCUAACGUUGGCCCCUGACCGGGGUUGCGGACAGUGUCUGGUGGGUAGUUUGACUGGGGCGGUCUCCUCCCAAAGCGUAACGGAGGAGCACGAAGGUUAGCUAAUCCUGGUCGGACAUCAGGAGGUUAGUGCAAUGGCAUAAGCUAGCUUGACUGCGAGCGUGACGGCGCGAGCAGGUGCGAAAGCAGGUCAUAGUGAUCCGGUGGUUCUGAAUGGAAGGGCCAUCGCUCAACGGAUAAAAGGUACUCCGGGGAUAACAGGCUGAUACCGCCCAAGAGUUCAUAUCGACGGCGGUGUUUGGCACCUCGAUGUCGGCUCAUCACAUCCUGGGGCUGAAGUAGGUCCCAAGGGUAUGGCUGUUCGCCAUUUAAAGUGGUACGCGAGCUGGGUUUAGAACGUCGUGAGACAGUUCGGUCCCUAUCUGCCGUGGGCGCUGGAGAAUUGAGGGGGGCUGCUCCUAGUACGAGAGGACCGGAGUGGACGCAUCACUGGUGUUCGGGUUGUCAUGCCAAUGGCACUGCCCGGUAGCUAAAUGCGGAAGAGAUAAGUGCUGAAAGCAUCUAAGCACGAAACUUGCCCCGAGAUGAGUUCUCCCUGAGACUUUAAGUCUCCUGAAGGAACGUU